CUUUUUCCUCCUUCCUGCUGACUUGCUGUUCAAGUGAUAUAACCCUCCUAAACCUCUCAUCCCAAUGUUCCCCCAUCUCCAGCGCCUCUGUUUCAUCUUCGUCUUCUUCCUCAUACGCUACUUCAAGGCCGUCCUCAAAGUCAAAUUCAAAGUCGUGGGCUUGGGCCAUUUGGGGGCCAAUCUCGAGUGAACGAGAGUAGGGAAUCCCACGUCGAGCGGCUUUUCGCAUCUUGAUCCUAUAUGAGAGAAGACACUCAUUAAUAUGUGCAUGUCGUGAACGGAGAAGGGAAAGGGAAAUGAUGGAAAAAAAAAACUCACCCCUCGAGCUCGGCAGCCCUCUCUUUCUUCCAUCUCUCCAUUUCCACACGAAGCUUCCCAAGCUCUUCUCUUUGCGAUUCGGCGAGUUCGACCGCUUUGAUCUCCUCAACAGUUGGGUGAUCACAACCUGCAAGGCGAAUGACUUCAGGGGCUUCCAUGUGGUCUGAUGGUUCAUAUAGAGAAAGGGAAUCUUGUCAGCUCAGCGCCAAGAGAAAAGGACGAUACAACAUACCAGAGGCAUGGGUCAUGCGAUGUGCGAACUCGCAGACAGACCCGGGGCUGAAGAUGAAUUCACCACCUAAUUGGGUAAGGUCCCCUGGAGGCUUGACAGGCAUCUUGAAGAGGGCGUUCUGCAAGUCGAGCGUUAGCCUUGUGCAAAGUCAUUGUUAUAAAAGGCGCGACCUACAGAGAUACCAUGAGCGAGUUGACCAGGCACAGCACGUUGAUGAUACUCCGCUCGACCUUUCCAGAAAUGACCCCAGGGUGCUGUCUUCGGUGCACCUUUUGUCAUGCUAUGUUGAUGGGUCAGUAUUAAACGCCUAAUGGUCGAUCAUACCAACGUACCCCAUGAGUGAGUACAGCUUCUUGGGUCCGUCCACAUAGAUAGGGAACGGGCAAUUAAACAACCUCCUAUACGCCUUGAGCACCUUCCAGCUGCCGUGACCAAUGAUUACUACCUUGAUACCUGCCUUCUCGAGGGCCUCGGGAGAAAGAAUCGAGAUAGAGGCAAGCGUAUAAUCUUGACAUUGACCGCACCAGAACGUGCGGAUGAAGAAGACGACAGUUUUGGGAGUAGGUUUACCAGCUUCGACAGGACCGGGGGGCGAAAGGAGAUCACCAAAGCAGAUCGGAAGACCAUUCUCAUCUCUCACAAAACAUGUCGAAGCUUCAAGCACUCGAUCCCUUGAAACUAGUUUAUCGACGCUAAACUCGACGUCUGCAAGGGUCUCGCCUCCGAGCAGAAUUACCUUCUUGGGAACUUUGAUCUUUUGCUGGACCUUUUUCGAACCCUUGCUUCUGACCACGACAUCGUCCGACAUCAAUCUCUUGGGCAUAAUAGGAGGCACGGAUGAUGGUACAUUAUGUACACUCCUAUGAGACGAGUCCCGAUUGUGCACGGCUUGCUCAUGGGUGGAACUAUGGAUAGGUGUCAUGAUCCUUACACUGUCAGCGGAGGAGGAGGAACGACCUCCAUGAGUGGCAGCGGAGAGAGGUGCGGUGUGGGCGGAUCGGAUGGACGCGGUGUCUGUCGGAGCAGGAGGCAAAGGACGAUUGACGGAAAGGGUGUACUCGGGGACACGGGAGUGCAGCUGUUGCACAUGUUGUUCGGAGAAAUGAGGAGAUGUGUCUCUUCGGGGAAAUGGCUUGAGCGGAGGAUCAGCCGAAUGAUGUAAGGGGAAUGACGGAGGAGGGAAGGGUGGUUGAGUUUUGCGGGUAGGAGUGGAGGGGGAACUUGCACAGGCACGCUCGAGAUGUGGUCGGCUCGUCACUCGAUGGGGCGGCACUGGAGCUAUCACUCCCGCACUUACCGCCCUGUUUGCUAACUGCGAACCAGUCCCAAAUCUGUUAUCUAUCUUCUCUGUACUGUAGCGCAUGCUUUCAUAACCGUACGAGCUGCUGCUUCUCGUCAUAGCUUGUGAAGCGACAUUGGCGAAUGGAUGGUUGGGCGGAAGGCCGAGGCCGAUUGUGAAUUCUUUAUCUUGCAUUGGCAGCGGCAUGGUUGGAACAGGCUUGCGUCGAAUAGACUUGGUUCUUGCAGAUCUGGUAGAAUGGCUCCGGCAAAGAUUGCUAUUACGGACCGAACCGUGCUCUAAAAGAAUGGCGGCGUUUGGUAAAGAGGGUGGACGGUGCAGGGCUUGUGACUGAUGAGGAGAGUGACCGUCGGAGGAAGGGGAGUGAUCAACAGAGGGCAGUAAAAACGAGUGGCGGGCUGGCGGGGUAGUGGCUUCGAAAGCAGAGUGGGGGCGAGCUGAAAAGGAGCUGGAAGGUAGAGAAUUUGCAGCAGGCGAGAGCGAAGAAUACACGCUGUUCGAGCGACCGAGGUCGUUCGGUGCAUUCUGUGGUUGGAGGGAAUGAAGCAUGACGGGUGACUACCGUACAAUGUAUGAUCCUGAAAAAGACGCCUGAAUGAUCCGCUAGCACCUUCCGAGACAGCUUGAUGUAUCAAAAAGCAGAGAUGCGAGGGCGUCCGUGGGCGGUAGGUGACGAAGAUGCGGGACGAGUUGGGACGACGACAGUGUUUUGUUCUUAUACUUGGAUCUUAUGCAUUCACUCUGA
RNAcentral lists this small RNA (2595 nucleotides) under Cryptococcus neoformans H99. RNAcentral's name for it is "Cryptococcus neoformans var. grubii H99 hypothetical RNA". Lineage: Eukaryota; Fungi; Basidiomycota; Tremellomycetes; Tremellales; Cryptococcaceae. The record is from RNAcentral.